UAUGAAGACUUCAUUGACCCA
Molecule: non-coding RNA, 21 nt
Filed under: Caenorhabditis elegans
Lineage: Eukaryota; Metazoa; Nematoda; Chromadorea; Rhabditida; Rhabditidae
Source: RNAcentral